Molecule: long non-coding RNA, 1091 nt
Filed under: Equus caballus (horse)
Lineage: Eukaryota; Metazoa; Chordata; Mammalia; Perissodactyla; Equidae
Description: lncRNA (ENSECAG00000051199.1)
Source: RNAcentral
CUGCAAAUGUCCGUGAGAGGAGUUUCGGUUUCCGCUGCCGCGGCCCGGCAGGGCUCCGGCAGAAGCAGCGGGCCCCCGGACCCCUGGGCGCCCUGUCCCGGCCGCGAGGCCUCCUGCACGGGGGACGUCCCACCGAGCUUCCCCGAGCCUGCUUCCUCGGAGGCGGCGUGUGUCCGUGGCCAUCUUUUGUAAAGUGCCCGCCCACGCAGACCCUCGUCGCCCUCUCCUGCUCUUUCUUCAGGGCCCUCACCACACCUGAAACUGUUUUUCUCUCGUGUCUCUAAAUGCAGACUCUGCUGACGACUUGCGUAUCUUUUCAGCUCAGACUUCUCUCCCCGACUUCAAACUCCUGAAAACUUAACAAACUUAACGUGACCAGAACAUGAACUUCUGCUUCCUCCCCUCUCUCCCUACGCCCAUCCCACCUCCAAAUCCGACCUGCGCCUCCCGAAGUCUUCCCUGCCUCAGUCCAUGGCAAUAUCUUCCCUUUUGCUUAGGACCCAAGCCUUGGUGUUAUUCUUGAAUCCUCUUUCUUUUACUUUCUCUUACUUCCAAAUCAUCAAGAAACCCGCUCUGCUGAAUCCUGGUUCAAGGCACCAUCGUGUCUUCUCCUGACUUCUGCGCUGGCCUCUUUCCUGGUCUCCCUGCUUCUACUCUUGCCGCUCAGCAUCCAUCCUAAAUGCAGCAGAGUGAUGCUAUUAGAAAACCUGAGACACCGCUCUUAAGCUCACAACCUUCUGAGAGCCCCUUCUUGUUCUCAGAGCAAAGGCCAAAAUCCCACCAGAUGCCCCCACAUUUCUUCUUUGAUCUCAUCUGCUAGUACCCUAACACUGCUCAGUGCUUAAACUUCUAAGCUUGCUCUUGAUUCAAGUCUUCUGUGCUGGUCCUAACUUCUGCCUGGAGUACUGGCCCCCUAGAUAGAUACUUGGCAGAUUUCAAGUUUUCACUCAAAUGUCACCUACUCAGUGAGGCCUACCCUGACUGCCCCGUUGGAAGUUGCUCACACACUCUUUGUGUACCCAGGUGGUUCUUGAUCUACUCUCUUUUUUCCCUAGCAUUUAUCACCUAAUAUUUAUCUUUUUUUUUUUUUG